This is a long non-coding RNA of Clupea harengus (Atlantic herring), 1128 nucleotides long. The record is from Ensembl. NCBI's taxonomy places the organism in Eukaryota, Metazoa, Chordata, Actinopteri, Clupeiformes, Clupeidae.
GAAAAACAGAUGCAAUGGCAGACAACUGUCACACUGCAGAGAGUAAAACAGAGGUGCAUAUGAUAUAUGACACAUGCAUGAAUGAUAUUAAACAAAUAACAGACAAAACCACAUGAUUUAUAAUAUCGGACAUACUUAUCAGUCUCAAACAAGUCUCAGUGCAGAGGGGUUAACGGUUCCUUAUGGGUGAAGUUCUGUCUCACAUGGACAUACAGAUCACACAUUUUUUUUUCUGUUUGUCUUCCUCUGGGUGAACUUACAACAAGCUUUCCCAUUUACCGCAUACUGGGUGAAAUGUUUUUACCGUUUGUCUUUUCACGAGAAUACUGCGAUAUUGAGAUGUGACAGAAGUGUCAUUUUAAGCAGCCCCAGCAGUCAGAAGAGGCACCGUGCUGCAAGGAGAGUAAAGCCUUCCACAUUCGUAUCAUAGACUGUAUGGGAGUCCUUCACAGCUCUUCUUUUGGGAGGGGGUGGGGACAAAUACCUGUACAUCAUAUUUUAUCAGUUAUUUCCUGUUUUUAUCAUGUUUGAUCCUUUAGUUUUUUUUUUUUUUUACAAUUUUCUCUUCCUAAAUCUUCACAGGUAGACAUGACAGUAGAAUUAUGUCCAUGUAUAAAUAUUCCAUGUCACAUUGCAUUUUAUUUUAAUUGGUGACCUUCAUUCAAGUCCUUAAGAUCUUCGCCAAAGGUCAACUAUUGUUACUUUGUUCACAACUAUUCAAAAUUUUGUUUUUCUAAAGAUUCUGUGGUGUGUAAAAGGUCUCCAUGUCAGAUUUAUCUCUGCCUUUCUCCCUAAAAGAAACAGAAUCCUUAAUGACAUUUGCAAACAAAAGACAGUGAAGGUGGUAGUGGUUCUUGAGAAAAGCACCUUCUAAUGUUAUCAGGUUGCUGUGAAAAUGCCCAUGAUAAUAUGCGUGAUAACAGCAAAUAUCAUUCUUUCCACGGUUUUACAAUCUGUCAGAUAUGCUUUGAUGUAUGUAUGCCUAAUACAAUUAUCUAAUAGUCACAUCAUAUAUGUGAGAGUCGAUAAGACUGUGAUUAUUCAUUCUGCAUGGCUGUGAGACAUCUGAACCCUGUGUGCAGUGGCGAGAGGUAACUGAUUUUCUGCAUAAUACAGCCAUCUAGUGGC